AUUUAAUAGUCAGGAACAGGUGACUCUUUACGAGUUGAAAAGGGAAGUUUGGUGAGAUUCCAACGCGGUCCCGCCACUGUAACAGGGAGAAACCUUGCAUUUUGCCACUGAGCGGUUUGCCCGGGAAGGCGCAAGGGGACUAUGAACUGUGAGCCAGGAGACCUGCCUGUUCCGGUCUGCCGUC
This 184-nucleotide non-coding RNA is filed under the name Thermincola carboxydiphila JR. RNAcentral also lists the same sequence under 1 other name. Lineage: Bacteria; Bacillati; Bacillota; Clostridia; Eubacteriales; Thermincolaceae. The record is from RNAcentral.